GGCGACCGGCGCACUGGUGAGUAACACGUAUGCAACCUGCCGCGCACUGGGGGAUAAUCUUGGGAAACCGAGUCUAAUACCCCGUAGGCCUUGUUGCCGCAUGGUAAUAAGGUAAGAGGAGUGAUCCGAUGCGCGAUGGGCAUGCGGCGCAUUAGCUAGUUGGCGGGGUAACAGCCCACCAAGGCGACGAUGCGUAGGGGUUCUGAGAGGAAGGUCCCCCACACUGGUACUGAGACACGGACCAGACUCCUACGGGAGGCAGCAGUGAGGAAUAUUGGUCAAUGGCGGAAGCCUGAACCAGCCAAGUCGCGUGCGGGAGGGAGGCCCUACGGGUCGUAAACCGCUUUUGAUGGGGGGUAACCAUGCGGACGAGUCCGCAUCUGAGAGUACCCAUCGAAUAAGCAUCGGCUAACUCCGUGCCAGCAGCCGCGGUAAUACGGAGGAUGCGAGCGUUAUCCGGAUUUAUUGGGUUUAAAGGGUGCGCAGGCGGCUAUUCAAGUCAGCGGUCAAAUUGCGGUGCUCAACGCCGUAUCGCCGUUGAAACUGAGUUGGCUAGAGUGAGAGUGAGGAAGGCGGCAAUGCGGCGGUGUAAGCGGGUGAACAUGCAUAGAUAUUGCGCAGAAACUCCGAUUGCGAAGGCAGCUUUCCAAUUCUCUACUGACGCUCAUGCACGAAAGCGUGGGUAUCGAACAGGAUUAGAUACCCCUGGUAGUCCACGCGGUAAACGAUGGUCACUAGCUGUGCGCCCUGAUUAAAGGGAGCGUGGCCGAGCGAAAGCGUUAAGUGACCCACCUGGGGAGUACGCCGGCAACGGUGAAACUCAAAGGAAUUGACGGGGGCCCGCACAAGCGGAGGAACAUGUGGUUUAAUUCGAUGAUACGCGAGGAACCUUACCCGGGCUCAAACGCUUGCGGGAGUCUAUUUGAAAGGAUAGAUGCCCUUCGGGCGCUGCAAGCGAGGUGCUGCAUGUUUGUCGUCAGCUCGUGCCGUGAGGUGUCGGCUUAAGUGCCAUAACGAGCGCAACCCCCAUCUUCAGUUGCCGUCGGGUAGAGCCGGGCACUCUGGAGAGACUGCCGGCGCAAGCUGUGAGGAAGGCGGGGAUGACGUCAAAUCAGCACGGCCCUUACGUCCGGGGCGACACACGUGUUACAAUGGCGGGGCACAGAGGGAAGCCAGGCGGUGACGUCGAGCGGAUCCCGAAAACCCGUCUCAGUUCGGAACGGAGUCUGCAACUCGACUCCGUGAAGCUGGAUUCGCUAGUAAUCGCGCAUCAGCCAUGGCGCGGUGAAUACGUUCCCGGGCCUUGUACACACCGCCCGUCAAGCCAUGGAAGCCUGGAGUGCCUAAAGUCCGUGACCGAAAGGAGCGGCGCAAGGUAAGAC
Molecule: ribosomal RNA, 1382 nt
Filed under: uncultured bacterium
Lineage: Bacteria
Description: 16S ribosomal RNA
Rfam family: Bacterial small subunit ribosomal RNA
Source: RNAcentral